This 467-nucleotide ribosomal RNA is filed under the name uncultured bacterium. RNAcentral's name for it is "partial 16S ribosomal RNA". It matches the Rfam family "Bacterial small subunit ribosomal RNA", at positions 28 to 507 of the family's 1533-position model. The record is from RNAcentral.
GACGAACGCUGGCGGCUUUCUUAACACAUGCAAGUCGAACGGAAAGGCUCCAGCUUGCUGGAGUGCUCGAGUGGCGAACGGGUGAGUAACACGUGGGCAAUCUGCCCUGCACUCUGGGAUAAGCCUGGGAAACUGGGUCUAAUACCGGAUAGGACCUUUCUCCUCAUGGGGUUUGGUGGAAAGUUUUUCGGUGCAGGAUGAGCCCGCGGCCUAUCAGCUUGUUGGUGGGGUAAUGGCCUACCAAGGCGACGACGGGUAGCCGGCCUGAGAGGGUGAUCGGGCACAUUGGGACUGAGAUACGGCCCAGACUCCUACGGGAGGCAGCAGUGGGGAAUAUUGCAAAAUGGGCGAAAGCCUGAUGCAGCGACGCCGCGUGAGGGAUGACGGCCUUCGGGUUGUAAACCUCUUUCAGUAGGGACGAAGCGCAAGUGACGGUACCUGCAGAAGAAGCAACGGCUAAAUACGUG